This 439-nucleotide ribosomal RNA is filed under the name uncultured bacterium. Its description in RNAcentral is "partial 16S ribosomal RNA". It matches the Rfam family "Bacterial small subunit ribosomal RNA", at positions 339 to 795 of the family's 1533-position model. The record is from RNAcentral.
CUACGGGAGGCUGCAGUGGGGAAUUUUGCGCAAUGGGGGAAACCCUGACGCAGCAAUACCGCGUGAGUGAGGAAGGCCUUUGGGUCGUAAAGCUCUUUUCUUGGGGAAGAUAGUGACGGUACCCAAGGAAUAAGCACCGGCUAACUCCGUGCCAGCAGCCGCGGUAAUACGGAGGGUGCAAGCGUUGUUCGGAUUUACUGGGCGUAAAGGGCACGUAGGCGGCACAGCAAGUUAAGGGUGAAAUCCCGGGGCUCAACUCCGGAACUGCUCUUAAAACUGCUGAGCUAGAGAUAGUCAGAGGCGGGUGGAAUUCCAGGUGUAGAGGUGAAAUUCGUAGAUAUCUGGAGGAACACCGGUGGCGAAGGCGGCCCGCUGGGGCUAUUCUGACGCUAAGGUGCGAAAGCGUGGGGAGCAAACAGGAUUAGAUACCCCCGUAGUC